RNAcentral lists this unclassified non-coding RNA (252 nucleotides) under Hevea brasiliensis (rubber tree). The record is from RNAcentral. Lineage: Eukaryota; Viridiplantae; Streptophyta; Magnoliopsida; Malpighiales; Euphorbiaceae.
AAAAAAGAAAAAAAGAAAAAAAACCAGAACAAUAGCGAAGAGGCCAGAAACAAACCAUACCAGGAUAACUGGACGGGGUCCUUAGACCUUGUCAGGUGCCAAGCCACCAAUAAUUGCUAUUGGCCAAUGUUGCAUUAUAAAAACGAAUGGCUACUUUUGGCCAAGCCAAUGGCAGCACACAGCCAAUCCCAAGUCCUUAGCUUGUGAGUGUGACAAAGGAUAGUACAUUGCCAGUUGGCUUGCAGCUGGCAA